RNAcentral lists this long non-coding RNA (844 nucleotides) under Apteryx owenii (little spotted kiwi). Its description in RNAcentral is "lncRNA (ENSAOWG00000006089.1)". The record is from RNAcentral. Lineage: Eukaryota; Metazoa; Chordata; Aves; Apterygiformes; Apterygidae.
CGGCACGGCACGGCACGGCGCGGCCGCCCGCUGGGAGGGCAGGGGGAGCGGGCGGCGAGGCCUACCUCCGGGGGCACCAGGAAGCCCGGCCACAGCCGACUCUCAGGGAAGAAAAGCCGCACAAAGGGGGGAAAUAAAACGUUCGCGAGUUGAAAGAAGACUGCUGAAAGAGGGAGAAAGAUAUUUGAAUUGCUAUUGCUGCUGGAGAAAAGGAAUGAAAAAGAAGUCUUCAGUGGAUCAGGGAAUAUCAGACUUACAGUUAUACCAGUAUCUUACCAAAAGCAGAGAAGUUCACCGGGGAAUUAGCCAGCUUACAAGCCUUGCAAGCUUCAGCACAUCUUUGUAGUUAGCUGAAAUUUACUUUAUCAUUUUUUUUUCCAGAAUUUGGUUUUAUAACACUUAAAUAUCUACUUUCAAUAGGAAAAUCUAGACCUUUCAUUGCAUGGUAACAGUAGUAAGAGCUUAUAAGAAUUCAUUUUUUGUUACAUACUCCUUUUGGUCUUUAAACAAAAAUAUAAAACCAGCAAAAAGAAUCUUCUGUUUUUUUGAUACAAGCACAGUAAUGAAGUUGUGUUCAGAGGAAUAGGUGGCAGCCGUAUUUUUUCCUGAAAACUGAUUCUUGUACUAACCAAGCUUUGGAGAGAAAGAGAUACUCGAUCCAUGAAGUUCUGACUGUCCUCAAAAGCAAAGGCAGCCUCAGGGACUGCGAGCAGCUACUUGUGGAGUUCAUUGAGUGGGGAAACCCUGCAACUGGUUAUCUCUGCUUUUCCUGCUAGCUUGUAUUGGAUAUGCAGAAAGUCUUUCAAGAGGCUUUAGAAUAAAACAGACAAUUGCAGUGUGUGCA